Zea mays is the source of this 950-nucleotide long non-coding RNA. RefSeq lists it as uncharacterized. The transcript is spliced from 2 exons. The record is from RefSeq and is a predicted model, not a curated record. Lineage: Eukaryota; Viridiplantae; Streptophyta; Magnoliopsida; Poales; Poaceae.
AUGAUACCAUUUUUCUUAUUCAAGAUUGCUUAGAAGGCGCCAGAAAUCUUAAAUUCAUUUUAUGUUUGUUUGAAAGCAUGUCAGGUUUAAAAAUUAACUUUCACAAAAGUGAAAUAUUAUGUUUUGGAGAUGCUAAAGAGAUUGAUUUUUUGUAUGCUGAUAUUUUUACAUGUCCUAUAGGUAAUCUACCUAUGAAAUAUCUUGGUGUGCCAAUAGAUAAGAAAAAGAUUAAGAAAAACCUUUGGUGCCCCAUGAUUGAAAAGUUGGAAAAAAGAUUAGCUGGAUGGCAGGGUAGAUUCUUGAGUCUUGGUGGUAGACUUACUUUACUUAAUAGUUGUCUUUCUAAUGUUCCUUUAUAUAUGCUGUCAAUCUAUCCUGCCCCUAAGUCUGUUAUUAGGAAAAUUGAUUUGUUAAGAAGGAGACUUUUAUGGCAGGGGGGUAAACAGUCCAAGAAAUUUCAUCUGGCGGAUUGGGAGUCAGUAUGUUCUCCCAAAAUUCAAGGUGGUCUUGGAGUGUUGAAUCUUGAGAAAAAGAAGGUGCAAAGAAUGGUGGUGCUAGGAAGCAGGUUAAUCCGAAAGACGGCAAGUGAAGCUUUCGGGAGGGCCUUGGGGUGGUGUCCUCUUGACAGGCGGAUUUCUGGUUGACAUAAAAGAUGCUGAAGCCGUGAAAACUUGUUGGGAUAGUUGUUUGUCUUUUGUUGGCCUUUCUGGUCAGGUCUUUUGUGGCUUCUGCCUGUCUUGAUGGGUUGUAUAUAAGAAAGUCUUAUGUAGCUCUUCGUAGGCCAAAACUUCCUCUGUUAUCGUAGUCUCUUCACUGAUCUUGCGUUAGUGUUUAGAGUCUAGAUAACUCCCUGGCCGUGGCUGUUCUGUUUGGAAGUCCUACCGCGUAGGUGCGGUUGUUUCAUACAUUCCUAUUUCUUAAUGAAAUAGGGGGCUUCGCCCCUUCGUCAA